Molecule: unclassified non-coding RNA, 3433 nt
Filed under: Hevea brasiliensis (rubber tree)
Lineage: Eukaryota; Viridiplantae; Streptophyta; Magnoliopsida; Malpighiales; Euphorbiaceae
Source: RNAcentral
GAAUAUACACAGAAAUAAUAUAAUAAUUGUGUUAUACACAGAAAUACCGCCGUCGCUGAUUCUACCAUUCUAAGAAGAAAAAUUCAUUUUAUAAAAAUUCAUUUUAUAAUUAACGGAUAAUAAAACUAUGAUCAGGAACCCCACUCUCCCCAUUUCCUCCAUUUCUAAAAUUCACAUACAAGAAAUGAGCCAUCCCACCCUUCCAACAGGAAAAAAAAAUGAUGAAAUAAAAAUUAGAGAAAUUACAAAAAGUUAGGACAAUAAAAAUGACCCUAUCAUCUCCUAUUCACAUUAUAGUUAAAGCACGAGUAAAUCAAGACUCAAGCACCCAAAUCGAUUAUAUAUUUUCCCAUAAAUCGUUGCAUUUAAGCGCUAGGACAACCCAAAUCAAUGUAUACCUAUAUGUAAUGGGGAAGUUUUAAGCUGUGCAAUGCUCCUAUAAGAUGCAACAGAGAUUCAAAUUCCAUCUAGUCUUGAUCUAAAUUUCAUCCGUUAUAAACUGCUACAACCUUGAUCUCUUAGUCGUCACCAAGAAGUAGGGAUUUCUGAAGUUUUUCAAGAGCUCUGGGAUGUCGUAACGAAGCAUGUAAUCAACAGCUUGUAUCAUUCUAGGCUUUAACUUUUCAAAUUUGUCAAUGUUGUAACAACUCAAAACAGAUCUGAAGUGCUCAACAUUUGGGAAAUCACCUGGAGGUAAAUGGAACUUCCUUUGAACCUUUCCAAACUCAUCUGCCAAAUUAUCAAUAAGUCGCUGUUGAGCCUUUGCUUUGCCCAUAAUGGCCGGCAUCUCCUUUUUAAGAUGACUAAUAAUAUAAGCAUGUAUCUUGGCAGCUCUAGCUCGUUUCACAAAUUCGUUGAUCUGUAAGGAAGUAAUGUAAUCAGAGACAUGUCCAACAGCCAUCCCCAAGGAGAAAGUUUUAUUUCCUAGAAAAUUGAUUCUGAAGAAGAUGGUUUGACCAAGUUAAAUGAUUCAGACACAAUGCAACUUCAGCCUCAUUCCACAAAUGUUUAUUCCUAGCACAUAGUGUACACAUGAUAUAUGGAUUAUUUGCUGUUCAAUGUAUAAAAAAUGCAUACUUGUACUUUUCAAAAUCAUAAACAUUGAUGAAAAAUAUUAAAUUCUAACAGAAACAAAAACAAUAAACUCACUCGGCGAUCACAAGCCUUCUUUGGUAUAUCUUUUAGAUCAGACAGAAGGUCGUCCUGUUCUUUCUCAAAAAGUUCUUUCCCAAUUGGACCAACAGCAGCUUCAUUUACUGGUUUAUCAUUGAAUGAGCCAAUAUAAACACGCACGACUUCAGGAGUAUUUAGAACUUUCCCAAGUGACCACAUUAGUGCGCCAUAAACUCUCUUUAGUUGUUGAGUAUCAAUUUGGUCUGCUUUGUUGAGAACCACCCGAAUCUUAUCAUCAUGACCACGUAAAGAUGAUAUCACACGCUUGAACUCAUCACUGACAUCAAGUUUGUGAGGAUCAAACAGAAGCAGAAUGAGAUCACACUUUGCAGCAAACCAUGAAGUUACACCGGUAAAAUCAUAAGCACGUUGUGUUCGUUGCUUUUCCCCUGAUAAAACUCCAGGUGUGUCCACAAAUGUAAUAUGCUCCAGCAAAGGAUGAGGCAUUUGAGAACAUUCCAAUUUUGACAAAAAUGCAUUUCCAAAAGUUGCGAGUCCAUUAAAGGGCAAAUCUGUUUGGACUGCCACCGUGUUGCCCGGUAUACUCCUUUCAUCAGUACCAGACUGUACAAAGCGCAACUAGCAUGUAAACACCAUUGCUAAAAAAUAACAAGAAUGAUUAUGAGAUACUAAGUGGAUUGUUUAAGAAAAAAAAAGAAGAGAUGGCAACUGCGAUAUGCAUUAGUUGUCCUAGUGCAACUAGUUGACUUGAGUCUGACAUCUCAGUAGAUUUUAAGUGUAAGUGGAUUUUCUAAAUACCAUAACAACAACAAAUCUGUCAGUUGUUGGCUCGGGUCCAAUAUGAGCUCCAGGAUAACCACUUUUAAGUAAAUGUUUGAUGAAUGUUGUUUUUCCAGUGGAAUAUUGACCCAACAGCAUGACCAUUGGUUUGGCAUCAAAAUCACUGUUUUUCAACAGUGGAGAUACAAAAUCAUUAAAACGAUAAGUAACUUCUAAUGGCUUCAGCUUCUGAAUGUACAAUCUCUUUAAGCCAUCAAUGAUGGAUGUAACAGAGGAUAGAGGUACCUAAGAAGAUACCAUAAAUUUUGAGCACAGAAAAAGGUAAAAAGAUUUCAAGUAGAAACCAAUAAAAAAGGCACUUAUAACUUAAAAGGCAAAUAAAAGAAAACAAUGCAACACCAGACUUGUGCAUGUAUAAGGAACUUAGCAUCAUCAGGCCAAGGAGUAAUGAUUAAGUGUGCAAACUUGUCCUCUGAAAUUAAAAGGAAAUUAAAUCAAAUUUGCAGGUUCAGAAAAUUUAUUUAUUAUGAUAAUGAAAGAAAUUCAUUUGAGUAUGGUAAUGGAAUGUUCUGAGACCAGGUAUGCAAACAUAUCUACAGCGUAUGGCCACCUAAUGUUACAUAACAGAGGGAGUAAACAUAUAUCAUCUUAUAAUAAAUCACCAGUUUUAGAGUGUAAAAGCAUUAAAUGCAUGACAACUACAACCAACCAGUAAUAUGGUAGUGGAUUGGCCAAGAAUAUCUGCAAGCAAAACACUAAAGAAGCGAACUUGCAAAAUUUUCAGCUAGUCCUGAAUGAAAUCACUUGCAGUUCUAUAGAAUAAGAACUCCAAGGUGCAUAAAAAACACAAUAAAAAGAAAAGAAAUUGUUGAAUAAAAUUGAAAGUGACUUUGAAAAUGCUGGAUUGUAAAACCAAGUAUUUCAUCUUGGUCCUACACAUUCCUUAUCUGACUACUCCAAAGUGAAGCUAGCCACUCCAGACCAUCAACUAACUCUUAAGGAUGAUGAUUCAAAUCUUCUACACAAAUUGUGUAGUUUUUAGCUCCCCAAUCUAAUUUAUGAACAGUACAACCAGAAGUGAACCAUGUAAAAUUUUUACACAAGUUCAAGAAACACUAACAAAGUCAUAACAACAAGUAUGACACUUGAUGAUCUCCAAUUAAGCACUUCUUACGCAAUCUGAAGCCUUUAAGAAAAGAUAAACUCCAAGUAUUAUUUGGCAGUACCAUUAUAAUUAUCACCAGCAGUGCAAUGAUAAUCCAUGUAAUGAAACAUAAAAAACUUCAAAAACUUCCACCAGAAAAAAAAACACUUAACUAACUGGACAAGACUGCCUUGGUAGCAAAUAUACAAAAAUAGCUCUAGAAAUUACUGUUGUUACAGGACAUAUUUAGACAAUUCAUAGUUAGAAUGCAUAUGAGGGGAAAAAAGAGAUUGCUUGCAUUAUAAACUACAAAGGAGGAAAAGAAAAAAAACUAAUUGUUUAGAACCUAAGUACCAAUUUCAGUUUACAACACGA